CAGCAGCCGCGGGAAUACGGAGGAUCCAAGCGUUAUCCGGAAUCAUUGGGUUUAAAGGGUCCGUAGGCGGUCUUGUAAGUCAGUGGUGAAAGCCCAUCGCUCAACGGUGGAACGGCCAUUGAUACUGCAGGACUUGAAUUAUUGGGAAGUAACUAGAAUAUGUAGUGUAGCGGUGAGAUGCUUAGAGAUUACAUGGAAUACCAAUUGCGAAGGCAGGUUACUACCAAUUGAUUGACGCUGAUGGACGAAAGCGUGGGUAGCGAACAGGAUUAGAUACCCCUGUAGUCCCUGUCUCUUAUAC
This 301-nucleotide ribosomal RNA is filed under the name uncultured bacterium. RNAcentral describes it as "partial 16S ribosomal RNA". It matches the Rfam family "Bacterial small subunit ribosomal RNA", at positions 509 to 807 of the family's 1533-position model. The record is from RNAcentral.